CGAACGGUCGCGUAACACGUAAGCAACCUGCCGAAAAGACCGGGACAACAUCUCGAAAGGGGUGCUAAUACCGGAUGUGGCCACAUUCUCGCAUGGGAUUGUGAUUAAACCGAGCAAUCGGCUUUUCGAGGGGCUUGCGGCCUAUCAGCUAGUUGGUGGGGUAACGGCCUACCAAGGCGACGACGGGUAGCUGGUCUGAGAGGACGGCCAGCCGGACUGGGACUGAGAUACGGCCCAG
RNAcentral lists this ribosomal RNA (238 nucleotides) under uncultured bacterium. RNAcentral's name for it is "partial 16S ribosomal RNA". It matches the Rfam family "Bacterial small subunit ribosomal RNA", at positions 99 to 334 of the family's 1533-position model. The record is from RNAcentral.